UACAGAGGGUGCGAGCGUUGUCCGGAAUCACUGGGCGUAAAGCGCACGUAGGCGGCUUGUUAAGUCAGGGGUGAAAUCCUGGAGCUCAACUCCAGAACUGCCUUUGAUACUGGCGAGCUUGAGUCCGGGAGAGGUGAGUGGAACUGCGAGUGUAGAGGUGAAAUUCGUAGAUAUUCGCAAGAACACCAGUGGCGAAGGCGGCUCACUGGCCCGGUACUGACGCUGAGGUGCGAAAGCGUGGGGAGCAAACAGG
This 253-nucleotide ribosomal RNA is filed under the name uncultured bacterium. RNAcentral describes it as "partial 16S ribosomal RNA". It matches the Rfam family "Bacterial small subunit ribosomal RNA", at positions 524 to 776 of the family's 1533-position model. The record is from RNAcentral.